GAUGAAGAACGUAGCGAAAUGCGAUAAGUAAUGUGAAUUGCAGAAUUCAGUGAAUCAUCGAAUCUUUGAACGCACAUUGCGCCCCUUGGUAUUCCGAGGGGCAUGCCUGUUCGAGCGUCAUUAUAACCCCUCAAGCUCGGCUUGGUGUUGGGGCCUGCCGCACGGGCAGCCCUUGAAAUCAGUGGCGGUGCCAUCUGGCUCUAAGCGUAGUAAUUCUUCUCGCUAUAGAGUCCCGGUGGAUGCUUGCCAUUAACCCCCAAUUUCAAUGGUUGACCUCGGAUCAGGUAGGGAUACCCGCUGAACUUAAGCAUAUCAAUAAGCGGAGGA
RNAcentral lists this unclassified non-coding RNA (327 nucleotides) under soil metagenome. Its description in RNAcentral is "partial contains 5.8S ribosomal RNA, internal transcribed spacer 2, and large subunit ribosomal RNA". The stretch from base 1 to 120 matches the Rfam family "5.8S ribosomal RNA", at positions 35 to 154 of the family's 154-position model. The record is from RNAcentral.